AUACUUUUUUUCCCUAUAGUUUUUAAUUAUAAGUUAUUUCUUUCAGCAAUCCCUUCUCCUUUGGGCACAUUUGAAGUUAUUAGAUCCUUUUUCAUAACUGUGUUUUGUUUUUGAAUUAGUUGAACUUUUUACUGACCCCUCUCUCAAACAUGUAUCUAUUAAUCUAUACUUACUCAGGCUGGUAAAUGCGAGGAAUUAGCCCCCGAAGGUUAUUUUGACAUUGCCAAAACUGACAUACACCUUCAUCUUGGGACUUAUUGAUUUCAGAUUUUCUGUAGGUUUAGUGACAUAUGUAUUGCCUACAUCCUUCUAUUAUGCGGUCUUACUACACUGACUGAUUUUUCUUAUUCCUAUUUUGUUCUUUGUGCAUUAAAUAGGAUUUUGGCAAGAUGCUUAGCAUCAUAGAUUACUAACCAGUCAGUCUUUGUGGAUUAUAGGCGAUUCAUCACCUUUAUGUGUUUUGUCAACUUUAUUAUCUUGAUGGGUGUUGAACAAGUUGUAUUAUUCGUCCAUCGCUCUUUUACAUCUCUAUUUGAGGAUUCAUGCGGCAUUGAUGCCCUUCUACAUUGAAUGUUUUAGCAGAUGUGAUGAUAUGCUUUCCUUUUCUUAAUUUUAAGGUAUUACUAAAAUUUUACUGAAUUGAUCAGUUGCUUCUUUUUGUAUAUACAAAUUUGAGAAUUCACCCGUUUCUUCAAUUUCAAGAAUUUGCGUUUUAGUUUUGAGAAUUUGUCUAUUAAUUCUACUUUUUUGCCUUGCAGUAUUAAAAAUGAAAAACCACAUUGCAUGAAUUGUUAGCUUUUAUGGAAUUUUCUUAAAGUCUAUAGAUAUACUGUAUAUAUACAAAGCAGAGACAAAGCCCUGCUUAGGUGGCAUAUCUUAGAGGUCAGGGUUCUUAAUAAGAUGGUACAUAAUUUCUAUAAAAUCGAGUAAAACUUUGCUCCUACAAAUCUGUUUUUACUCUCUUACUCUAUUGAAAUUGAAUAUCCAUCUUCAUCGAACUGACGUCUCGGAUGCUCACUGGAUAUGUGCCAAAUGCCGAAUACAGCCAGCAUCUCUAUUUCCUUCGAUGGCUGCCAAAUGCCCUCGGGCCGAUUACGGUAUGUAUACCUACUCCCGUGCUCUUUUUGACGUGAUUAAUUUUGGUUAACUCAUUCUAAAUUGUUGUUCUCUUCUGACCUAGCAAAAUCUAGGUAUUUUCUUUUACCUACUCCCGAGGGUGUGUUCUUUUACCUCAGUAGACAACUUAUUUUUGUGCUUUCAGGGGAGAUAUUACGGAGAAAAGAACGAUCUUUUAAAGAAUGUCUAGAGAAGUAAGCGGAGCAAGCCUGUUAUCAAUCCCGCUCUUCCACGGAAUAGGUAAACUGGUCGAAUGGGUGAUAAAAUGUUUCUUGCGUGAUCCUAGGAUUCCACGCAAGAAAACACCAAAAUCCUUGAUGAAUAGUUUGUAAACACUAUUGAAGAAUGCUUGGCUUAAUAUGGUGCAGGACUAUGGGAGAAGUUUUGUGGAGCCUGGAAUACGCAUUGAAGCUUCAGGAAAAACAUGAAAAAACAAUACUAGAGAAUGAUAUCUCGAACAAUAAGUUGGAUAACAAUGUGUUAAGUACCAAAUACAUCAUGGGGAGUGUGGCUGAACUUGCUGGUGUUUCAAUGAGUAAAGUUUUUUGCCAAAUGGUGAAAACUGAAAACAAAGACUUAUGUGACAUGUUAGACUGUGCCUCUUGGUUGUAUAUUUGUCUUCUUUGCUUUAGAUUAACGAAUAAAUGUUACAAUCCAGUAAAAUUUAUAGAAGAUACGUAAGACUUUAGAAGUUCUUGAGAUAUAUUGAUAACGUCAAAUUUUGUAAUUUAGAAUGUUCUUAAUAUCUUUAGUUU
RNA transcript from Lycium barbarum (goji berry), 1871 nucleotides. It is a transcript of the gene named probable receptor-like protein kinase At2g39360, with no coding region annotated. Lineage: Eukaryota; Viridiplantae; Streptophyta; Magnoliopsida; Solanales; Solanaceae. The transcript is spliced from 2 exons. The record is from RefSeq and is a predicted model, not a curated record.